UUGAAGGUCAUCAACACCAUGAAGAAUGGAGGAGUACCUCCGGGAGCGGCGGCGACGAUUUUUGAUGAUUGCUAUUCUUUUUUGUUUGAUUUUUCUUUCGCUAGUUUUGAACAUUAUAAUAGAGAAGCGAAUAAGGUAGCUCAUGAACUUGCCAUGUCAGCUAGAUUUUCUCCGACUAAGGAUUGGUUUGAGGAGCUUCUGAGCGAAAUUGUAUCUUUUUAA
RNAcentral lists this ribosomal RNA (222 nucleotides) under Triticum aestivum (bread wheat). Its description in RNAcentral is "partial small subunit ribosomal RNA". The record is from RNAcentral. Lineage: Eukaryota; Viridiplantae; Streptophyta; Magnoliopsida; Poales; Poaceae.